This 495-nucleotide ribosomal RNA is filed under the name uncultured beta proteobacterium. Its description in RNAcentral is "bacterial SSU rRNA". It matches the Rfam family "Bacterial small subunit ribosomal RNA", at positions 1003 to 1500 of the family's 1533-position model. The record is from RNAcentral. Lineage: Bacteria; Pseudomonadati; Pseudomonadota; Betaproteobacteria.
GAUGGCUUAGUGCUCGAAAGAGAGCCGUAACACAGGUGCUGCAUGGCUGUCGUCAGCUCGUGUCGUGAGAUGUUGGGUUAAGUCCCGCAACGAGCGCAACCCUUGUCAUUAGUUGCUACAUUCAGUUGGGCACUCUAAUGAGACUGCCGGUGACAAACCGGAGGAAGGUGGGGAUGACGUCAAGUCCUCAUGGCCCUUAUAGGUGGGGCUACACACGUCAUACAAUGGCUGGUACAAAGGGUUGCCAACCCGCGAGGGGGAGCUAAUCCCAUAAAACCAGUCGUAGUCCGGAUCGCAGUCUGCAACUCGACUGCGUGAAGUCGGAAUCGCUAGUAAUCGUGGAUCAGAAUGUCACGGUGAAUACGUUCCCGGGUCUUGUACACACCGCCCGUCACACCAUGGGAGCGGGUUCUGCCAGAAGUAGUUAGCCUAACCGCAAGGAGGGCGAUUACCACGGCAGGGUUCGUGACUGGGGUGAAGUCGUAACAAGGUAGC